This 286-nucleotide ribosomal RNA is filed under the name uncultured Chryseobacterium sp. RNAcentral's name for it is "partial 16S ribosomal RNA". It matches the Rfam family "Bacterial small subunit ribosomal RNA", at positions 588 to 876 of the family's 1533-position model. The record is from RNAcentral. Lineage: Bacteria; Pseudomonadati; Bacteroidota; Flavobacteriia; Flavobacteriales; Weeksellaceae.
UCAGUGGUGAAAUCUCAUAGCUUAACUAUGAAACUGCCAUUGAUACUGCGAGCCUUGAGUAAGGUAGAGGUAGCUGGAAUAAGUAGUGUAGCGGUGAAAUGCAUAGAUAUUACUUAGAACACCAAUUGCGAAGGCAGGUUACCAUGUCUUAACUGACGCUGAUGGACGAAAGCGUGGGGAGCGAACAGGAUUAGAUACCCUGGUAGUCCACGCCGUAAACGAUGCUAACUCGUUUUUGGGUUUUCGGAUUCAGAGACUAAGCGAAAGUGAUAAGUUAGCCACCUGG